This 464-nucleotide ribosomal RNA is filed under the name uncultured bacterium. RNAcentral's name for it is "partial 16S ribosomal RNA". It matches the Rfam family "Bacterial small subunit ribosomal RNA", at positions 28 to 507 of the family's 1533-position model. The record is from RNAcentral.
GACGAACGCUGGCGGCGUGCUUAACACAUGCAAGUCGAACGGAAAGGCCCUGCUUGCAGGGUACUCGAGUGGCGAACGGGUGAAUAACACUUGGGUGAUCUGCCCUGCACUUCGGGAUAAGCCUGGGAAACUGGGUCUAAUACCGGAUAGGAGCCAUUUUUAGUGUGAUGGUUGGAAAGUUUUUUCGGUGUAGGAUGAGCUCGCGGCCUAUCAGCUUGUUGGUGGGGUAAUGGCCUACCAAGGCGGCGACGGGUAGCCGGCCUGAGAGGGUGGACGGCCACAUUGGGCCUGAGAUACGGCCCAGACUCCUACGGGAGGCAGCAGUGGGGAAUAUUGCACAAUGGGCGCAAGCCUGAUGCAGCGACGCCGCGUGGGGGAUGACGGCCUUCGGGUUGUAAACUCCUUUCGCUAGGGACGAAGCUUUUGUGACGGUACCUAGAUAAGAAGCACCGGCUAACUACGUG